Molecule: long non-coding RNA, 504 nt
Organism: Triticum dicoccoides
Lineage: Eukaryota; Viridiplantae; Streptophyta; Magnoliopsida; Poales; Poaceae
Exons: 3
Source: RefSeq, a predicted model, not a curated record
GCAUCCAGCUACGGCGACGACGGCGGCUCGCACAGAUUGAGGGCAACGUCGGCCUCCCAAAGAAGUGCUCUCGGCACGACCAUCUUCUCACCGGCCAAUGACGGCCACGUGACUGACCAGAUUUGUUUUUGGCAUGGCGGCCAUGAGCGAAAUAAGAUCGAUGGUGCACUCACUUCUCCGCUUCCCCGUGUGUUUAGGUGGCCGGCCGGCAUCGUGUGACCAAUCGCCCGCGAUGGCACCAGUGACGCGCGACAUGCAUGAGAACAGCAGAGCCUAGUUCUUUCAGGUUGAUGCUGAGCCUACUCCAGGUUCUCCAACCGUCAAGCCAAGAACCACCGCAGAUCUAGUAUGUGGCACGACCUCGUACAGAUCAUGCUACACUAGAAGUGUUCUUCAACUCUGAAAAAGUUCUCUUUGUUGUUCACAUGGAUUGAUCCAGACGCUACCACAAUAUGGUCAAUGGAAGCAGCAGCUAAAGUAUGGAUCAUAUGGAGGAUCAAAGAG